Molecule: ribosomal RNA, 460 nt
Filed under: uncultured bacterium
Lineage: Bacteria
Description: partial 16S ribosomal RNA
Rfam family: Bacterial small subunit ribosomal RNA
Source: RNAcentral
CCUACGGGGGGCAGCAGUGAGGAAUAUUGGUCAAUGGGCGGAAGCCUGAACCAGCCAAGUCGCGUGAGGGAAUAAGGCCCUACGGGUCGUAAACCUCUUUUGCCGGGGAGCAAGGGCGGGGACGUGUCCCGGCCCGGAGAGUACCCGGAGAAAAAGCAUCGGCUAACUCCGUGCCAGCAGCCGCGGUAAUACGGAGGCUGCGAGCGUUAUCCGGAUUUAUUGGGUUAAAGGGGUGCGUAGGCGGCCUGCUAAGUCUGGAGUGAAAGGUACCGGCUCAACCGGUACAGGCUCUGGAAACGGGCGGGCUAGAGAGCAGGAGAGGGCGGUGGAACUCCAUGUGUAGCGGUAAAAUGCGUAGAUAUAUGGAAGAACACCAGUGGCGAAGGCGGCCGCCUGGCCUGUUACUGACGCUGAGGCACGAAAGCGUGGGGAGCAAAUAGGAUUAGAUACCCGAGUAGUC